This is a non-coding RNA of Acanthosepion pharaonis, 87 nucleotides long. Lineage: Eukaryota; Metazoa; Mollusca; Cephalopoda; Sepiida; Sepiidae. The record is from the annotation of a GenBank genome assembly.
UGGUCCCGUACGAUCACCGUCGUUAAGCAACGUCGAGCCUGGUCAGUAUUUAGAUGGGUGACCAUUUAGGAAUACCAGGUACUGUAA